GCGGGACUUCCGGCGUCCUCCUGGAGGCGGUCGUUUUCUGAGGGUCUUGCUCUGUUGCCCAGGCUGGAGUGCAGUGGUACAAUCUCAGCUCACUGCAACCUGCGCCUCCCAGGUUCAAGUGAUCCUCCCACCUCAGCUUCCCGAGUAACUGGGACUACAGGUACGCGUCACCACCCAAAUGUCAUCUUGAAUUGUAACUCCCACAAUUCCCAUGUGUCGUGGGAGGAACUCAGUGGAUGAUGAUUGAAUUAUGGAGGCAGGUCUUUCCUGCACUGUUCUACUGAUAGUGAAUGAGGCUUACAAGAUCUGAUGGUUUUAAAAAUGGGAGUUUCUGCACGAACUCUCUUUGCCUGCUGCCAUCCAUGUAAGAUGUGACUUUCUCUUCCUUCCCUUCCACCAUAAUUGUGAGGCUUCCCCAGCCAUGUGGAACUGUGAGUUCUCCAUUAAACCUCUUUCUUUUGUAAAUUGCCCCAUCUUGGGUAUGUCUUUAUCAGCAGCAUCAAAAUGGACUAAUACAAUGCCCAGCUGAUUUUUGUGUUUUUAGUAGAGAUGGGGUUUUGCCGUGUUGGCCAGGCUGGUCUCAAAGUCCUGGCCUCAAAUGAUCCACCUGCCUCGGCCUCCCAAAAUGCUGGGAUUACAGGUAUGAGCCACCAUACCCAGCUGGCAAUGAAAUUUCAAUAUGAGUUUUAGAGGGUACAAGUAUUCAAACCUAGCACACAUUCUCUUAAAUGCUUGAAGGUGGCUAAAACUCAUUCAAAAUUUCAGUCACUUUGCAUUGAGAACACUGACAAAAGCCUUAAUUCAUUUUUCCUUUUUAUGUGUUAUAACAAGGUUUUAAUUUAGAUAAUGAAUUAGGUGAAACAAUUUAUGAUGACGUAAAUCAUUAUGUCAUAAUAAUAAUUUUAUCAGUAUAAAAAUUCUGGUAGUGAAAUUUUCAGUUCUAAAAGAUACCUGUAUGCCGAGACCAACUCGGUCGGGGAGACCCUAACCCAGCGGCGCUAGAGGAAUUAAAGACACACACACAGAAAUAUAGAGGUGUGAAGUGAGAAAUUAAGGGUCUCACAGCCUUCAGAGCUGAGAGCCCCAAACAGAGAUUUACCCACGUAUUUAUUAACAGCAAACCAGUCAUUAGCAUUGUUUCUGUAGAUAUUAAAUUAACUAAAAAUAUUCCUUAUGGGAAACGAAGGGAUGGGCCUUCCAUGCAGAAGCAUGUCCUUAGAGCACAGAUCACUCAUGCUAUUGUUUGUGGCUUAAGAAUGCCUUUAAGCGGUUUUCCGCCCUAGGUGUUCCUUGUCCUCAUUCCCGUAAACCCACAGCCUUCCAGCGUGGAUGUUAGGGCCAUUAUGAACAUAUCACAGUACUGCAGAGAUUCUGUUUAUGGCCAGUUUUGGGGCCAGUUUAUGGCCAGAUUUUGGGGCGCUGGCUCCCAACACCUGUAAAUUAAACACUUUUGUGCAUGCAAACAUACAAUGAACAGCUUUAGUCAACAUCUGAGACAGCUUUGUUUAUGGUUGUUUUGAUUUACAUUAAAAUUACACAAAAUAAUAUUUAUGAUGUAUAAGUAAGGCAAAAAGAAUAACACUAAGACAGACAGCCAUGAAGCUAUCAUCUGCUUUAAGAAACAGAACUUUAUCAAUAUCUUAGAAGUUUCGUCUGUAUUCUCUCCCCUGCUUUGAGGUAAUCAUUCAUUCUAAAUUUUGUGUAGUUAAUAGUUUUAUUUUCCUAAUACUGUUUCUUCAGCCAUAUAUGGCUAUAUCCCAUAACCAUAUAUUACUUAUUUGUGCAUAUUUAAAACUUUACAUAAAUGUUGUGAUACUGUAUUUGUUUUUCUGAGAUGCAUUCAUGACAUGCAUGUGGCUGUAGUUUAUUUUAACAAAAGUCUUGAUUCUGUGGAUAACAAUAGCAUAUACUUAGCACUUUAUAUGUACUAAUGUGUUUGAUACCAACACUACCCCUAUGAGUUGGUUCCAUUACUGUCCCCAUUUUACAGAUGAAGAUGCUGAGGAACAGGGAGGUCGAGUAGCCCAAGAUCACACAGCUGAUAAAAGGCUGCCCUAAUGUGUGAGGCCCACAGUAGACAGUCAGCUGGAGGCCAUCUUGCUCCAGCACCAGGAGAAGGGGUUGGACAAACCCUUAGAACCCCACCAUGGUUGCCAGUUGCCUGUAGUGUUGUUCUUCUCACAGAUACUAAUGGCUGCAGAAGUCUCUACUCACCUGUGCAUGACUAAGGUCAUGCACAGGUGAGUAGAGGGUGUCUCAGACCUGUACCCUCCUCAUCUCCUAACCAUAUAGUCUCUGGGAUUUUGGUGUCUUGGGACUAUACAUACGCCUGCCACUUUCCUGGCUGUUGGAUUUAGGGCCCCUGAGUUCCCUCAGACUCAGUAUCUUAAUCCUAGGUCAGGAGAUACAUGGAGAGGUUCCCAUUUCUGAUAACUGCUAGAAUGCUAUGUAGAUGGUGUUAUGAGCACAAGGAUCAGCAUGUGAACGUAUUUCUAUGCAAAACUGAGCUGGCGGUAUUCAGGGAACUGAAGGUCUCCAUUAUGUUUGGUGGGACCAGAGAGUGAGGAUGCAGGAUUCAGGCCUGGAAGGGCAGGCAGAGCAGAUGUGUGUCUUUUCUGAGGAGUCAGGGAACAUUUGGUGGAGAGGAUGGAGGUCAGAAUCAGGUCUUAACCAACAUCCUCUGGCUGUAAAGUGGAGAACAGGGAGCAGAGGCAAGGGAGAAGGCCACAGUGGAAUUAAACUAGAAAUCAGUAACAGAUAGUUCUGAAAUAUAGAAAAUUCCAAAAUAUAUGGAUAUUAAGCAACACACUUCUAAAAAACACAUGGAUCCAAAAAACAAAAAAAAAAA
This 2848-nucleotide long non-coding RNA is filed under the name Macaca mulatta (Rhesus monkey). RNAcentral's name for it is "lncRNA (ENSMMUG00000063394.1)". Lineage: Eukaryota; Metazoa; Chordata; Mammalia; Primates; Cercopithecidae. The record is from RNAcentral.